RNAcentral lists this ribosomal RNA (462 nucleotides) under uncultured eukaryote. Its description in RNAcentral is "bacterial SSU rRNA". It matches the Rfam family "Eukaryotic small subunit ribosomal RNA", at positions 15 to 454 of the family's 1831-position model. The record is from RNAcentral.
UGACGGUAGUCGUAUGCUCGUCUCCGAGACUAAGCCAUGCAAGUCCAAGUACACGUCCUUGAACGACGGAAACUGCGAACGGCUCAUUAAAUCAGUUGCGAUCUACUCGGCGUUCCGCGCCGCCGGAUAACCGUAGUAAUUCUAGGGCUAAUACGUGCGAAGCGCCCGAAGCCGCGAGGCGACGGGCGUUCUCGCCGGAUGUAGGAACCGACCCCGGGGGACCGCCGGGGGCAACCCGGCGCCCCCGAGACGGGGCGAACCACGGUGAAAUGACGGAUCGUCGGCCCCGCGCCGGCGACUCGCCGAAUGAGUUUCUGACCUAUCAACUCGAGACGGCGGGGUAGAGGCCCGCCGCGGUAACGACGGGUAACGGGGAAUCAGGGUUCGAUUCCGGAGAGGGAGCCUGAGAGAUGGCUACCACUUCCAAGGAAGGCAGCAGGCGCGCAAAUUACCCAAUCCCGA